ACUCCUACGGGAGGCAGCAGUGGGGAAUAUUGCACAAUGGGGGAAACCCUGAUGCAGCAACGCCGCGUGAGCGAAGAAGGCCUUCGGGUCGUAAAGCUCUGUCCUAAGGGAAGAAGUAUGACGGUACCUUAGGAG
Molecule: ribosomal RNA, 135 nt
Filed under: uncultured Bacillota bacterium
Lineage: Bacteria; Bacillati; Bacillota
Description: uncultured Firmicutes bacterium partial 16S ribosomal RNA
Rfam family: Bacterial small subunit ribosomal RNA
Source: RNAcentral